RNAcentral lists this long non-coding RNA (350 nucleotides) under Phaseolus vulgaris (common bean). RNAcentral's name for it is "long non-coding RNA (PVUL_LNC004561)". Lineage: Eukaryota; Viridiplantae; Streptophyta; Magnoliopsida; Fabales; Fabaceae. The record is from RNAcentral.
UCUUAUCUUAUUCUUCCCUACACAAAGCCCUAAAAACUAGUUAAAACCCAUAUGCAUGUAGCACCAACAGCAGUACCCAUAUUUCAUAGCAUUGAAAGGAAAAUAGAAUAAAUACAGUUAUGUCCAUUGAAAUGUUGGUGUUGUUCUAGAUAUAUACUAUUAUUAUAUUAUUAAUACUAACUAAUUAUAUAAAAUUGUUCUUCAUAAAAAUGCCAAAAUAUCUGCUUCAAGUCCUACACUACGCUACACUUACACGGAUGUGAGGUUGUAUGGAAGGUCUAAAUCUAAUUCCAUUAAUAAAUGUGAGGUUGCAUGAAGGUCUAAAUGUAAUUCCAUAAUAAAUGAGUGGU